UAGGGAAUAUUGGGCAAUGGAGGGAACUCUGACCCAGCCAUGCCGCGUGCAGGAUGAAGGCGUUAUGCGUUGUAAACUGCUUUUUAUAUAGGAAGAAAUAGUCCUUGCGAGGAAAGUUGACGGUACUAUAUGAAUAAGCACCGGCUAACUCCGUGCCAGCAGCCGCGGUAAUACGGAGGGUGCAAGCGUUGUCCGGAUUUAUUGGGUUUAAAGGUGCGUAGGCGGUUUAUUAAGUCAGUGGUGAAAGACGGUCGCUCAACGAUUGCAGCGCCAUUGAUACUGGUAGACUUGAGUAUGAUUGAGGUAGCUGGAAUGGAUAGUGUAGCGGUGAAAUGCAUAGAUAUUAUCCAGAACACCAAUUGCGUAGGCAAGUUACUAAGUCAUAACUGACGCUGAGGCACGAAAGUGUGGGUAUCAAACAGGAUUAGAUACCCUCGUAGUCCCUGAGCGGGCUGGCAAGGCGCAU
This 466-nucleotide ribosomal RNA is filed under the name uncultured bacterium. RNAcentral describes it as "bacterial SSU rRNA". It matches the Rfam family "Bacterial small subunit ribosomal RNA", at positions 355 to 825 of the family's 1533-position model. The record is from RNAcentral.